RNAcentral lists this ribosomal RNA (449 nucleotides) under uncultured bacterium. Its description in RNAcentral is "partial 16S ribosomal RNA". It matches the Rfam family "Bacterial small subunit ribosomal RNA", at positions 29 to 523 of the family's 1533-position model. The record is from RNAcentral.
AACGAACGCUGGCGGCAUGCCUAACACAUGCAAGUCGAACGAAGCCUUCGGGCUUAGUGGCGCACGGGUGCGUAACGCGUGGGAAUCUGCCCUUGGGUUCGGAAUAACAGUUAGAAAUGACUGCUAAUACCGGAUGAUGUCUUCGGACCAAAGAUUUAUCGCCCAAGGAUGAGCCCGCGUAGGAUUAGGUAGUUGGUGGGGUAAUGGCCCACCAAGCCGACGAUCCUUAGCUGGUCUGAGAGGAUGAUCGGCCACACUGGGACUGAGACACGGCCCAGACUCCUACGGGAGGCAGCAGUGGGGAAUAUUGGACAAAGGGCGAAAGCCUGAUCCAGCAAUGCCGCGUGAGUGAUGAAGGCCUUAGGGUUGUAAGGCUCUUUUACCAGGGAUGAUAAUGACAGUACCUGGAGAAUAAGCUCCGGCUAACUCCGUGCCAGCCGCCGCCGUAA